UGCCUCUUGAACAGAAAGAUGAGCUGU
This 27-nucleotide non-coding RNA is filed under the name Rattus norvegicus (Norway rat). Lineage: Eukaryota; Metazoa; Chordata; Mammalia; Rodentia; Muridae. The record is from RNAcentral.